GAGUUUGAUCGUGGCUCAGAGCGAACGCUGGCGGCAGGCUUAACACAUGCAAGUCGAGCGGGCGUAGCAAUACGUCAGCGGCAGACGGGUGAGUAACGCGUGGGAACGUACCUUUUGGUUCGGAACAACACAGGGAAACUUGUGCUAAUACCGGAUAAGCCCUUACGGGGAAAGAUUUAUCGCCAAAAGAUCGGCCCGCGUCUGAUUAGCUAGUUGGUGAGGUAACGGCUCACCAAGGCGACGAUCAGUAGCUGGUCUGAGAGGAUGAUCAGCCACAUUGGGACUGAGACACGGCCCAAACUCCUACGGGAGGCAGCAGUGGGGAAUAUUGGACAAUGGGCGCAAGCCUGAUCCAGCCAUGCCGCGUGAGUGAUGAAGGCCCUAGGGUUGUAAAGCUCUUUUGUGCGGGAAGAUAAUGACGGUACCGCAAGAAUAAGCCCCGGCUAACUUCGUGCCAGCCGCCGCCGU
This 468-nucleotide ribosomal RNA is filed under the name uncultured bacterium. RNAcentral describes it as "bacterial SSU rRNA". It matches the Rfam family "Bacterial small subunit ribosomal RNA", at positions 9 to 521 of the family's 1533-position model. The record is from RNAcentral.